GGGUUGUGAGGUUAAGCGACUAAGCGUACACGGUGGAUGCCCUGGCAGUCAGAGGCGAUGAAGGACGUGCUAAUCUGCGAAAAGCGCCGGCGAGGUGAUAUGAACCCUUGACCCGGCGAUGUCCGAAUGGGGAAACCCAGUGCAAUCCGUUGCACUAUCGUUAACUGAAUACAUAGGUUAACGAGGCGAACCGGGGGAACUGAAACAUCUAAGUACCCCGAGGAAAAGAAAUCAACCGAGAUUCCCCCAGUAGCGGCGAGCGAACGGGGAGCAGCCCGGAGUCUGAAUCAGCUUGUGUGUUAGUGGAACGGUCUGGAAAGUCCGACGGUACAGGGUGAUAGUCCCGUACACGAAAGCACACAUGCUGUGAACUCGAAGAGUAGGGCGGGACACGUGGUAUCCUGUCUGAAUAUGGGGGGACCAUCCUCCAAGGCUAAAUACUCCUGACUGACCGAUAGUGAACCAGUACCGUGAGGGAAAGGCGAAAAGAACCCCGGCGAGGGGAGUGAAAAAGAACCUGAAACCGUGUACGUACAAGCAGUGGGAGCCUCUUUAUGGGGUGACUGCGUACCUUUUGUAUAAUGGGUCAGCGACUUAUAUUCUGUAGCAAGGUUAACCGUAUAGGGGAGCCGAAGGGAAACCGAGUCUUAACUGGGCGUUAAGUUGCAGGGUAUAGACCCGAAACCCGGUGAUCUAGCCAUGGGCAGGUUGAAGGUUGGGUAACACUAACUGGAGGACCGAACCGACUAAUGUUGAAAAAUUAGCGGAUGACCUGUGGCUGGGGGUGAAAGGCCAAUCAAACCGGGAGAUAGCUGGUUCUCCCCGAAAGCUAUUUAGGUAGCGCCUCGUGAACUCAUCUUCGGGGGUAGAGCACUGUUUCGGCUAGGGGGCCAUCCCGGCUUACCAACCCGAUGCAAACUACGAAUACCGAAGAAUGUUAUCACGGGAGACACACGGCGGGUGCUAACGUCCGUCGUGAAGAGGGAAACAACCCAGACCGCCAGCUAAGGUCCCAAAGUCAUGGUUAAGUGGGAAACGAUGUGGGAAGGCACAGACAGCCAGGAUGUUGGCUUAGAAGCAGCCAUCAUUUAAAGAAAGCGUAAUAGCUCACUGGUCGAGUCGGCCUGCGCGGAAGAUGUAACGGGGCUAAACCAUGCACCGAAGCUGCGGCAGCGACACUAUGUGUUGUUGGGUAGGGGAGCGUUCUGUAAGCCGUUGAAGGUGUGCUGUGAGGCAUGCUGGAGGUAUCAGAAGUGCGAAUGCUGACAUAAGUAACGAUAAAGCGGGUGAAAAGCCCGCUCGCCGGAAGACCAAGGGUUCCUGUCCAACGUUAAUCGGGGCAGGGUGAGUCGACCCCUAAGGCGAGGCCGAAAGGCGUAGUCGAUGGGAAACAGGUUAAUAUUCCUGUACUUGGUGUUACUGCGAAGGGGGGACGGAGAAGGCUAUGUCAGCCGGGCGACGGUUGUCCCGGUUUAAGCAUGUAGGCGGAGGUUCCAGGUAAAUCCGGUACCUUAUUAACGCUGAGGUGUGAUGACGAGGCACUACGGUGCUGAAGUGAUAAAUGCCCUGCUUCCAGGAAAAGCCUCUAAGCAUCAGGUAACACGAAAUCGUACCCCAAACCGACACAGGUGGUCAGGUAGAGAAUACCAAGGCGCUUGAGAGAACUCGGGUGAAGGAACUAGGCAAAAUGGUGCCGUAACUUCGGGAGAAGGCACGCUGAUGUGUAGGUGAAGCCCCUGCGGGCGGAGCUGAAAUCAGUCGAAGAUACCAGCUGGCUGCAACUGUUUAUUAAAAACACAGCACUGUGCAAACACGAAAGUGGACGUAUACGGUGUGACGCCUGCCCGGUGCCGGAAGGUUAAUUGAUGGGGUUAGCGGCAACGCGAAGCUCUUGAUCGAAGCCCCGGUAAACGGCGGCCGUAACUAUAACGGUCCUAAGGUAGCGAAAUUCCUUGUCGGGUAAGUUCCGACCUGCACGAAUGGCGUAAUGAUGGCCAGGCUGUCUCCACCCGAGACUCAGUGAAAUUGAACUCGCUGUGAAGAUGCAGUGUACCCGCGGCAAGACGGAAAGACCCCGUGAACCUUUACUAUAGCUUGACACUGAACACUGGUCCUUGAUGUGUAGGAUAGGUGGGAGGCUUUGAAGCGUGGACGCCAGUCUGCGUGGAGCCAACCUUGAAAUACCACCCUUUAAUGGCUGGUGUUCUAACGUGGACCCGUAAUCCGGGUUGCGGACAGUGUCUGGUGGGUAGUUUGACUGGGGCGGUCUCCUCCCAAAGAGUAACGGAGGAGCACGAAGGUUGGCUAAUCCUGGUCGGACAUCAGGAGGUUAGUGCAAUGGCAUAAGCCAGCUUGACUGCGAGCGUGACGGCGCGAGCAGGUGCGAAAGCAGGUCAUAGUGAUCCGGUGGUUCUGAAUGGAAGGGCCAUCGCUCAACGGAUAAAAGGUACUCCGGGGAUAACAGGCUGAUACCGCCCAAGAGUUCAUAUCGACGGCGGUGUUUGGCACCUCGAUGUCGGCUCAUCACAUCCUGGGGCUGAAGUAGGUCCCAAGGGUAUGGCUGUUCGCCAUUUAAAGUGGUACGCGAGCUGGGUUUAGAACGUCGUGAGACAGUUCGGUCCCUAUCUGCCGUGGGCGCUGGAGAAUUGAGGGGGGCUGCUCCUAGUACGAGAGGACCGGAGUGGACGCAUCACUGGUGUUCGGGUUGUCAUGCCAAUGGCACUGCCCGGUAGCUAAAUGCGGAAGAGAUAAGUGCUGAAAGCAUCUAAGCACGAAACUUGCCCCGAGAUGAGUUCUCCCUGAGACUUUAAGUCUCCUGAAGGAACGUUGAAGACGACGACGUUGAUAGGUCGGGUGUGUAAGCGCAGCGAUGCGUUGAGCUAACCGAUACUAAUGAACCGUGAGGCUUAACCUUACAACGCCGAAGGUGUUU
This 2932-nucleotide ribosomal RNA is filed under the name Enterobacter hormaechei subsp. steigerwaltii. RNAcentral describes it as "bacterial LSU rRNA". It matches the Rfam family "Bacterial large subunit ribosomal RNA". Lineage: Bacteria; Pseudomonadati; Pseudomonadota; Gammaproteobacteria; Enterobacterales; Enterobacteriaceae. The record is from RNAcentral.